AUAAAAAUAUAAAUAUAAAAUUAAUUUUAUUAUAUUAAAAAUAUAAAUUAUAUAAUUUUAAAUAUAUUUUCAGCUGUCCGUGUGCCUGAUCGGAUCCUGCUGGAUGGUCCGAUUCUGUCAGAUCCUCUGCCACCUGCUGAGUACUCCUUGCUGCUCUACUGUCACGGAGGGCCUCCCAACGUCUGCUCGUAUCUAGUAAUCCCUAUAGGACCUCCAGUUUGAUGGUGACU
This 230-nucleotide long non-coding RNA is filed under the name Elaeis guineensis (African oil palm). RNAcentral's name for it is "long non-coding RNA (EGUI_LNC074279)". The record is from RNAcentral. Lineage: Eukaryota; Viridiplantae; Streptophyta; Magnoliopsida; Arecales; Arecaceae.